This 1491-nucleotide long non-coding RNA is filed under the name Nothobranchius furzeri (turquoise killifish). Its description in RNAcentral is "lncRNA (ENSNFUG00015020038.1)". The record is from RNAcentral. Lineage: Eukaryota; Metazoa; Chordata; Actinopteri; Cyprinodontiformes; Nothobranchiidae.
GCCACGGCUGCUGCCCUGUCCUCAGGGGAGUUUACUCGUUUCUUAAAGUGAGGAUGAGUUUCUCAAGACGACAACAAAAAAGUGCCCUGUGGAGGCUGGCGGGAGAACUCUUCUUCCUGUAUCGGAUCAGUUCUGCUGCUUCGGCUCAUGUUACAGGCGUUUUGGAAACUGACCCUUGCAAACUCUGACUUGUGAAAAAUUGGAUUCCCCAUGAACACAGAAGGAUUUGAGUUGCUUGUCAUCAACACCUCACGGACAGAGUUUUGCAGCAGUGGAACGACAGGACGAGGAGGACGUGAAUGCAAAAGUUAUUUUACAGGAAAUGGAUGAUUCUGUGGAAAUGAGGAGAGAGGUUUCAAUCCAUGGAUUGGUGGUGUACCUCAGAGAAAAGGAGGAGAAGCUCUUUAAAGAGCAGUCGGUUGAUCGGGAUCUCACCAACGAAGUGUUGAAAAUCAUUGUAACCAGAGGUGCCUCAUCUGAUCCAGCCAGCGCUCAGAUUGGAACGGUGGGAACAGAAGUCCUGGAAGAAGUAGACGUACCCAGAGCCUGUGCCUUGCUAAUGGGACUGAUCUACUCACUCAAUCUCAGCUACCCAAAGGAACUAAAAAACACCUUUGAAGUGUUUCAAAAGGUAUUUCUUGAGCUGGAUAGCCUGAAAGCAAGCCCGAAAGUAAUGUCUCUGAAAAUUAAACUGCUGUUCUAAAAUAUCUGAAGAUUGUCUACUAUUUGAGCAGGAAAUGUCAUUUGUUAAUACACUGUGUUUAAAUGUUUUUAAGGUUUACUUAAAGUACACUAAGUUUACACCUAUAAUGGACUCUGGGACGUAAUUUUGGGGGACGGGACGGGUGGGACAUGUCCCCCCCACUUUUUCAAAAGGCAGUUUUGGUCCCCUGCACUUUUUUCCGUCCAAAAACAAUAUUACGCUCCAUUAAAUGGAUUUGGUUGAGCACUAGGACCGAAACGGAAACCGGUUUCCUAUUAGACCCGCCCAAAAGCUAAUCUAUUGGCUCUGCUGAUACUUGCUAACGUAUUAUUGGCUGUUGCUGCUGUCACUCAAGUUGUAAACAGAACGUGCUCACGUUGUUUUGCUAGUUUGGAGCCGCUAGGGAACACCGGUACUGAGUCACAUCGUCAACUAGACGCUGUGUAAUAUCAGAGCUCAGCUCAGCUUCCAUUACAUAACAUUUGAAUAAGUGUUCAUUUGUGAGUCUUUGGUAGUUAGGCACAGCCAGGAGGCAGCAUGUCAAGAAAACGAAAAGUGGAUAUAAGAGACUUCUUUCAAAGUCAAAACGUAAGUUGGAACAUGUGACACCCCUGCAUUAAGCUCAGACUCACCUCCUCCUUCACAAACAUACUCAAAACUAACUUUUACAAACUCAUCUCCUCCACAUAACUGACUCCUCAGACACAAUUUAUUCGUAUUAUUAUAAUUAUUAUUUUUUUAUUAUUACUAUUAUCAUCAUAAUUAUUAUUACUAGUAGUAGUAGUAGU